RNAcentral lists this unclassified non-coding RNA (185 nucleotides) under fungal sp. Its description in RNAcentral is "partial internal transcribed spacer region". The stretch from base 1 to 46 matches the Rfam family "Eukaryotic small subunit ribosomal RNA", at positions 1786 to 1831 of the family's 1831-position model. The record is from RNAcentral. Lineage: Eukaryota; Fungi.
AAGUCGUAACAAGGUAUCCGUAGGUGAACCUGCGGAUGGAUCAUUAACAAAGAUUCAACCCUCACGUCCUGUGAACUGUUUUGACAAAGGUCGGCUUCACCGCCGGCCACCAUUAAAAACGUAAAAAUUAAACCGAGUCCAAUAGUGAAGUUGAACAACUUUUAGCAACGGAUCUCUUGGCUCUC